UUUGAUCAUGGCUCAGGACGAACGCUGGCGGCGUGCCUAAUACAUGCAAGUAGAACGCUGAAGAGAGGAGCUUGCUCUUCUUGGAUGAGUUGCGAACGGGUGAGUAACGCGUAGGUAACCUGCCUUGUAGCGGGGGAUAACUAUUGGAAACGAUAGCUAAUACCGCAUAACAAUGGAUGACACAUGUCAUUUAUUUGAAAGGGGCAAUUGCUCCACUACAAGAUGGACCUGCGUUGUAUUAGCUAGUAGGUGAGGUAACGGCUCACCUAGGCGACGAUACAUAGCCGACCUGAGAGGGUGAUCGGCCACACUGGGACUGAGACACGGCCCAGACUCCUACGGGAGGCAGCAGUAGGGAAUCUUCGGCAAUGGGGGCAACCCUGACCGAGCAACGCCGCGUGAGUGAAGAAGGUUUUCGGAUCGUAAAGCUCUGUUGUAAGUCAAGAACGAGUGUGAGAGUGGAAAGUUCACACUGUGACGGUAGCUUACCAGAAAGGGACGGCUAACUACGUGCCAGCAGCCGCGGUAAUACGUAGGUCCCGAGCGUUGUCCGGAUUUAUUGGGCGUAAAGCGAGCGCAGGCGGUUUGAUAAGUCUGAAGUUAAAGGCUGUGGCUCAACCAUAGUUCGCUUUGGAAACUGUCAAACUUGAGUGCAGAAGGGGAGAGUGGAAUUCCAUGUGUAGCGGUGAAAUGCGUAGAUAUAUGGAGGAACACCGGUGGCGAAAGCGGCUCUCUGGUCUGUAACUGACGCUGAGGCUCGAAAGCGUGGGGAGCGAACAGGAUUAGAUACCCUGGUAGUCCACGCCGUAAACGAUGAGUGCUAGGUGUUGGAUCCUUUCCGGGAUUCAGUGCCGCAGCUAACGCAUUAAGCACUCCGCCUGGGGAGUACGACCGCAAGGUUGAAACUCAAAGGAAUUGACGGGGGCCCGCACAAGCGGUGGAGCAUGUGGUUUAAUUCGAAGCAACGCGAAGAACCUUACCAGGUCUUGACAUCCCGAUGCUAUUUCUAGAGAUAGAAAGUUACUUCGGUACAUCGGUGACAGGUGGUGCAUGGUUGUCGUCAGCUCGUGUCGUGAGAUGUUGGGUUAAGUCCCGCAACGAGCGCAACCCCUAUUGUUAGUUGCCAUCAUUCAGUUGGGCACUCUAGCGAGACUGCCGGUAAUAAACCGGAGGAAGGUGGGGAUGACGUCAAAUCAUCAUGCCCCUUAUGACCUGGGCUACACACGUGCUACAAUGGUUGGUACAACGAGUUGCGAGUCGGUGACGGCAAGCUAAUCUCUUAAAGCCAAUCUCAGUUCGGAUUGUAGGCUGCAACUCGCCUACAUGAAGUCGGAAUCGCUAGUAAUCGCGGAUCAGCACGCCGCGGUGAAUACGUUCCCGGGCCUUGCACACACCGCCCGUC
RNAcentral lists this ribosomal RNA (1402 nucleotides) under uncultured bacterium. Its description in RNAcentral is "bacterial SSU rRNA". It matches the Rfam family "Bacterial small subunit ribosomal RNA". The record is from RNAcentral.